GACAGGAGCGGCCGGGCCCCGUGAAGGUGGCUCCCGUGCCUCUCCUAUCACUCCACACCCCCAUCCCCGAGCUGCUCCGGUCCCACUGCCCCUCUCCGGGGCCGGCCCGACCGCCCCAGCGCCGCUUUCCCAUAGACUUUGUACCAGCGGCCAAAAUUCCCCUGGGUAAAACCCGGCAAAACCUGCCACGAGCUCCGCUGCCCGACGAGGGAGGGAGGGCACUUUUUCCCUCUCCGCUCCCCAUUUCCCCACGAGACACCCAUCCCCGGUGGAUGUCCCCGCGUUCCCCACCCAGGGUCCCCUCGGGGCCGCCCCGCACUGCCCCAGCUGCCCAAGAGAUGGCGCCGCCGCCUCGCUGGACCCCCCCGGCGCCGAGCCCCCACCCCCCCAGCGCCGGGUCGCCUGCAUCAGCCAUAAAACCAUUGAGGAUAUCAAGACAGGCGCCAGGACCCAGAGGCAGCAGGCCGAGGAGCAGGCAGAGCAUAAAACAGGAUCCGGGCUGGAAGUACAUCCUUAUAAUAUUUAUUACUGGCGGAGGAUGAAUCACUUUCCAAUAUACGGGCCACUAACUGUUGAAGGGGGGGAAAUCUCUUUAACGAGGAGGAAUAUAUAUGUUGUGCUUAGGGAUGUGCUCACGGGCUGGCAGCGCUGCAGGCAGGGGCUGCCAGCUCCUUGCUCUGCUCCCGGUGACCGCCCAGCCCACGUCUGCCCCCAGCACCACGCCGCUCCACAGCUUAUUCUCAGCGUCUCCUCAGCCCCACAGCACAAAGGGGGGAACCCUACGAGGACCCCCUCCAGCCCCCCGGCCGGGUGCUGACUGGAAGGAUCCAUCCCGUGCCCGGACAGCGCCAUAACCUCAGCGGUUCGGGAACUCUUUACCUGGAAACUUUUGAGGGGAGGAUUCUGCAUUAAAUUUUAACCGAUCUAUUCUCCGA
Gallus gallus (chicken) is the source of this 935-nucleotide long non-coding RNA. RefSeq lists it as uncharacterized. The record is from RefSeq and is a predicted model, not a curated record. The transcript is spliced from 2 exons. Lineage: Eukaryota; Metazoa; Chordata; Aves; Galliformes; Phasianidae.